AUGGGCGCAAGCCUGAUGCAGCCAUGCCGCGUGUGUGAAGAAGGCCUUCGGGUUGUAAAGCACUUUCAGUCAGGAGGAAAGGUUAGUAGUUAAUACCUGCUAGCUGUGACGUUACUGACAGAAGAAGCACCGGCUAACUCCGUGCCAGCAGCCGCGGUAAUACGGAGGGUGCGAGCGUUAAUCGGAAUUACUGGGCGUAAAGCGUACGCAGGCGGUUUGUUAAGCGAGAUGUGAAAGCCCCGGGCUCAACCUGGGAACUGCAUUUCGAACUGGCAAACUAGAGUGUGAUAGAGGGUGGUAGAAUUUCAGGUGUAGCGGUGAAAUGCGUAGAGAUCUGAAGGAAUACCGAUGGCGAAGGCAGCCACCUGGGUCAACACUGACGCUCAUGUACGAAAGCGUGGGGAGCAAACAGGAUUAGAUACCCUGGUAGUCCACGCCGUAAACGAUGUCUACUAGAAGCUCGGAGCCUCGGCUCUGUUUUUCAAAGCUAACGCAUUAAGUAGACCGCCUGGGGAGUACGGCCGCAAGGUUAAAACUCA
This 539-nucleotide ribosomal RNA is filed under the name Pseudoalteromonas sp. MED107. Its description in RNAcentral is "bacterial SSU rRNA". It matches the Rfam family "Bacterial small subunit ribosomal RNA", at positions 371 to 903 of the family's 1533-position model. The record is from RNAcentral. Lineage: Bacteria; Pseudomonadati; Pseudomonadota; Gammaproteobacteria; Alteromonadales; Pseudoalteromonadaceae.